CGACUUGCUGACGUGGAAGGAAAU
RNAcentral lists this microRNA (24 nucleotides) under Gossypium raimondii (Peruvian cotton). RNAcentral describes it as "gra-miR7486e". The record is from miRBase by way of RNAcentral. Lineage: Eukaryota; Viridiplantae; Streptophyta; Magnoliopsida; Malvales; Malvaceae.